GCCCUUGUAGCUCACUUGGAUAGAGCACCGGCCUCCUAAGCUGGGGGUAGUGAGUUCGAAUCUCGCCAAGGGCACCU
This 77-nucleotide transfer RNA is filed under the name hydrothermal vent metagenome. RNAcentral describes it as "tRNA-Arg-CCT". It matches the Rfam family "tRNA". Rfam says of the family: Transfer RNA (tRNA) molecules are approximately 80 nucleotides in length. Their secondary structure includes four short double-helical elements and three loops (D, anti-codon, and T loops). Further hydrogen bonds mediate the characteristic L-shaped molecular structure. tRNAs have two regions of fundamental functional importance: the anti-codon, which is responsible for specific mRNA codon recognition, and the 3' end, to which the tRNAs corresponding amino acid is attached (by aminoacyl-tRNA synthetases). tRNAs cope with the degeneracy of the genetic code in two manners: having more than one tRNA (with a specific anti-codon) for a particular amino acid; and 'wobble' base-pairing, i.e. permitting non-standard base-pairing at the 3rd anti-codon position. The record is from RNAcentral.